GCCCCGUUCGUCUAGCGGCCUAGGAUACCGCCCUCUCACGGCGGAGACACCGGUUCGAGUCCGGUACGGGGCACCG
Molecule: transfer RNA, 76 nt
Filed under: Bacillota bacterium
Lineage: Bacteria; Bacillati; Bacillota
Also listed under: 1 other name
Description: Firmicutes bacterium tRNA-Glu
Rfam family: tRNA
About the family: Transfer RNA (tRNA) molecules are approximately 80 nucleotides in length. Their secondary structure includes four short double-helical elements and three loops (D, anti-codon, and T loops).
Source: RNAcentral